RNAcentral lists this ribosomal RNA (235 nucleotides) under uncultured bacterium. RNAcentral's name for it is "partial 16S ribosomal RNA". It matches the Rfam family "Bacterial small subunit ribosomal RNA", at positions 96 to 334 of the family's 1533-position model. The record is from RNAcentral.
UGGCGGACGGGUGAGUAAUGUCUGGGAAACUGCCCGAUGGAGGGGGAUAACUACUGGAAACGGUAGCUAAUACCGCAUAACGUCGCAAGACCAAAGAGGGGGACCUUCGGGCCUCUUGCCAUCGGAUGUGCCCAGAUGGGAUUAGCUAGUAGGUGGGGUAACGGCUCACCUAGGCGACGAUCCCUAGCUGGUCUGAGAGGAUGACCAGCCGCACUGGAACUGAGACGCGGUCCAG